RNAcentral lists this ribosomal RNA (496 nucleotides) under uncultured bacterium. Its description in RNAcentral is "bacterial SSU rRNA". It matches the Rfam family "Bacterial small subunit ribosomal RNA", at positions 28 to 507 of the family's 1533-position model. The record is from RNAcentral.
GACGAACGCUGGCGGCGUGCCUAAUACAUGCAAGUCGAGCGGGCUUUUUAAAAGCUUGCUUUUAAAAAGUUAGCGGCGGACGGGUGAGUAACACGUGGGCAACCUGCCCUGUAGACUGGGAUAACCUCGGGAAACCGAAGCUAAUACCGGAUAAUCGAUAGAAGCACCUACUUCUAUUGUAAAAGUUGGGAUACUAACACUACAGGAUGGGCCCGCGGCGCAUUAGCUAGUUGGUAAGGUAAUGGCUUACCAAGGCGACGAUGCGUAGCCGACCUGAGAGGGUGAUCGGCCACACUGGGACUGAGACACGGCCCAGACUCCUACGGGAGGCAGCAGUAGGGAAUCUUCCGCAAUGGACGAAAGUCUGACGGAGCAACGCCGCGUGAGUGAUGAAGGCCUUCGGGUCGUAAAGCUCUGUUGUUAGGGAAGAACAAGUAUCGGAGUAACUGCCGGUACCUUGACGGUACCUAACCAGAAAGCCACGGCUAACUACGUG